CGCAGCGUGUCGAGAAAGGCAGCUGAGAAAGAGGCCAGUUUAAUUCAGGCUAGUAUCAUCGGACUUCAACGGACGUCUCCAUCUUUGCUGGUUGCGGGGUUUUAAUUCAAGUCUUUUCUGCCCCGGUGCACAUGCAUGUAACUAAUCGAUUUGGAGUCAAUCUUGCCUUUCACUGAGGCUGAGGUAGGGGAUCUUGGGCUUCAAAAGGAGUCUCCAUGAAAUGGUCUGGUGGUAAUUGAAAGGUUUCUGGAAAUUGAGCAUGACGAAGAAAAACUGAGGAAAUCCAAGGCAUGAAGAGGAAGAGGCAGAAGAAACACCUAGACAUACCUGUAGGGUCCAUACAGUUGGAAUGCUGAGAUGCACAAAGAGCCCUUUUACAUACCUGUCCAGUGUCACAGUGACAGCAGUCUGAAGUUGCAUGCCCCCAGUUAUCUCUGUCCUUCUGUUGGCUACAUGGAUUGUUCUUAUUCCUAACUUUCUCUUGUAGCAGUCCCAUGCUCUUUCUCUGUUAAAUUAAAUACUACAUAAGUGCUGCUUCCAGCACCCAUGUGGAACUCAUCAAUUGUAUCACUGUGCUCUCCAAUUCACUUGGACAAUUUAUGGCUCUUCAGUCCCUUGUCUGGCAAUUUCUGUCUCCAUCUCAGGAGAUGAAUUGUCCAUUGACAAUACUAUUAACCUGCUGACUCCCACAGCUGUGGGAGUCUCUUCUCACCCAGUAUCUCGUAAGGAUGCCAUCCCUUUCUUGAAGUUUCUCUAUCUCCGUAACAACUGCACUCAAAGUGAGGACUUCUAUUCCAGGACAUUUGAAAUGUCCCCCUUUUUCAUGAAAUGGAGCUGACAGAAGUUCUCACAUAGUUCUUCCAUUUUCCAGACUCCUACUUUCACCGUGUCUCCCUGUGAGUAGAACGAAAAUGGACUUUCCCUACUCCUCGUCUCUGACUCUCCUAUUCUCUAUUUCUGCCAAUUGCAGCAACUAUCCAGACCUUUUCUCCCCCACCCCUUUCUAUCUUCCAAAGGGAUCAGUCUCUCCUAGACAUUCUCAUCUUCUCAACCCAACUCACCAAUCCUUGACCACUGGUACAUUUCUUUGUAACGGUUCGCAUAAGUCCUCACUUAUCACCAUCGGUCACCUAAAUAACCAUUCUAGGUGAUACAAAGAUUCACAUGUGCCUCCUCCAGCUUUCUCUACUGCAUUUAGGGCUCCCAAUCUGGCCCUCUACAUUGAUGAGACCCAAGCACAGAAUAGAUGACCGGUUUACAGGCAAUCUACAUACUGUCCACAAUGAACUCCCAGUUGCAUGCCAUUUCAAAUCCCCUUCCCUUUCCCACUACUGGUCACCAGACUUCUCCCUUGCCAGAGUGAGAUAUAAUGCAAAAUAGAAGAAUGUCGCCUCAUAUUCCAUCUGAAACUCUACAACUCAAUGGCAGGAACACAGCCUUACCUCCUGUGUUUUCUCUCUCUCUCUCUCUCUCCCACCCUCCUGAACAACCACCCAUCCUCUCAUUUUUAUCACCCAUCCCUCAUCUCUCCCCCCCCAACAUCUAUUACCCAUUUUCAAGCCCUUCCACUCUGCUUCCAUCCAACAAUCACCCACAUGUUUUGGUCCAGAUGGAGGGUCUUGUCAGAAAACUUUAACUGCCCAUUUUCUUCUACAGAUAUUACCUGACCUGCUGAAUAUCUUGUCUGUUGCUCCUGAUUCCAGCAUCUUCAGUCUCUUGUGUUUCCAGAGUUUUUUCGAAAGCUGGAGAAUUCAAUAUUGUUGGUUCGGUAUCAUACCAAAUAUUUCUUAGAAAAUAUUCCACUGAUGUCUAUAAGCUUAAGUAUUCAGCCAAUUUACAAAAUCAGUGGUAAAGUCUUGCUAUGAUAGAAUUGAGAUGCUAAAAUACUCGGGGUUCCUGGCUUAUGUAAGAAUUCGGUUCCAGAGAAUUUUCCAUAAAAUGAAUUUUCUGUAAGUCAGAAAUGAACAAUUCCCCCAAAGUCAUGAUAUGAAAUUUCAACUCAAGUCAAGUCAAACUGAGUUCAUUGUAAUAUGCACAAGUUUUGUUUGCAACAGCAUUACAAGCAUGUAGAAUCAGGCAAUACACAGAAAAUAAAUUAUAUAUUAUCCAUACAUAAAUUACACAAAGCAGUAAAAAAGAGACUGUGUAAAACAAGACCUGGAUGUAAAACAGCCUCAACAGCCCUUGAGGACAUCAGGAUUAAUAGACCCUUCCAACCCAACAAGCUUGUAUUGCCUAAUUGCACAGAUGUGACUGUUUAACCCACUAACCCAUAUGUCUUUGGAAUGUGGAAGGAAGCUGAAGCACCCAAAGAAAACCCAUACAGUCACGGGGAGAAUGCACAAACUUCUACAGUCAGUGGCAGAAUUAAACCCAGAUCGUUGGUGCUGUAAUAGCAUUCAUCUAACUACUUUGGUAGCAUGUUUCUACGGGUGAUCUCUGCUCCGUUUCCUGGUGAAGAGAUUUGACUCUGGUUUCUGAGGACUGAGUCUGGGUGAAUUUGUUACAUUUUUUAUAAAUCAGGGUUUUGUAAUCUUGCAUCAAAACAAAAAUUAUCAUUCAAGAGCUCCCUUCAAUCCACAUGUAAAUCACUUGAACUCGUAGUUGCAUUUAUUUCUUCCUCAUUCAGAUUUGUUAAACAAUCAGAUCACAUGAUGUAGCAACAUGAUGCUAGAUCACAUGAUGUAGCAACAUGAUGUACUUUCGGAAGUGAUCCAAUGAAUUCAUAUAGGAAAACAACAUUACUUGCGUAGCAAGCUGAGAAAUACCUUCCUGAAAAUUCAUCUGCCUUGAUUUUUCAGCGUUAAAAUUAUCUGCAUGAUCUUUAUAAAACUUGUAAGAAAACAAUGAAAUUGGUGAAUGUGUUUUCAUAAGCAGCAUGGAUUACUCAUUGAAUUCCUCACAUAUCCCCACUGCUCUAUCCUUGAUGUUCAGCACUUAAAGAGGCACAACAACACUGUAGCAGCAGCACUCUUACAUGUCUUGUUGAAAAGGGAUGACAACAUGCUGGAAUAAAGGGAGGAAUGGAAGAGUCCUCCUGCUGGGAUAAAAGUGUAGCGAAUCUACACAGAGGUGUCGUUGGAGAGCAGUGGGGAACAGUGUAAGAUGGAAGCAUCUUUCUCGUACAUGCACUGCUGGCAGGUUGCUGUCAGGGAGAUACCUGUGAGACAUGAGUGCCCUCUCUGAAUUCUUGCAAUGCACAUGGAGCAUUGAAUCCAAAUUACAUUGCAAACUAUAGCUUGCUACCGUAGGACAACUACAGAGUAAAGAAGUAAUUCUCAAUUGGCCAUUCACUCAUAUCCCUGAGUUCAAUUCCAUUGCCUUCAACACAGUGGGUGAUAUCAAUCACUGCCAAUCCAAUCAGCGUGUAAUCAAUUAUACACACAGAGGACCAAGGGCAAAUUUAGAGAUCUUUUCAAUGCAUGCCAAAAGAAUUUGAUAGUAUUUUGGAUUUUUGUUUAAAUUGCUAUACAUGCCUAUAGAAUGCUUGUGCCAAUCAAGUCAUAUUCCUCAAAAUCCUUUAAUUAUCUUUACGAAAGUUUUCGUCAAUAGGAAGAUAUUAUUUUUUAAUUUCCAGUUUUCUUAAGGCUUUAAAAUAAUUAGUCUCCGUAGAAAAUAAUUAAUGAAAUAGGGAGGUGUCAGGGUUAGCAUGUUUCAGCUUGUGACAAUUUUUUUUUUGCUGCCCUCUGUGAGUCUUUCUUUAAUCCUGUCACAUUGAUUUAUUGGGUAACCUGGUUGUCUGAUGGCUUUCAGUAAGAUAGGUGUGAAUUGACCACCCAGUAAUCUAUAGUUAUGAGUUUCAGGAAAUUUAAAACCAGAAUUGAGGGGAGCCCUUACAGUUUCAGUACCAGAGUAAAUAAGAGACCAGAAAGUUUCAACAUUGUGUAACAUUGAUUCAAGAAAUACUUGGCAAGAAAAUCAAACUAAAUAAUAGAGUGACAACUUUUUCAUCACAGCUACAGAAAUGUAGGCUUAUCUUGAGAUAUUUCAUUACUGUGCUUGAGUUUUUCAUUCCUUCACUCAUCCAUUUGCCAGACAGAAUUGAGAUUUUCAAAUCACAUGGUCUGGAUUUUUACCAUUUACCAUCCAUUGUACUUUUCAUUACUUCCUCUGCAGAGCUGAGGGAAGCAAUCUUCUACAAAACCUGCCCUUUUGUCUUACCUCAUAAAGUCACCUUAAGACCAUAAUAGGAGCAGGAGUGGGACCUGGCUGUACUACCUCAACACCAUUUUCCAUUCAACAAUACUCAGUCCCUCACCAUUUAAAACCAUUCUGAUUUGUGUACCAGUUAUAUUUGCCAUGUUUUAUCCACUCAAUUUAUUCAUAAUCCUUUUAUAUCCUCCUCUUCCCUACUCACUCUAAUCUAGAUUUGGAUCUUCAGCAAUUUUGAAAUAUGACAGUUGGUUCCCCUCAAGCCAAGUCAUUGACAUAAAUCUGAAUGACCUUGGCCCAAGCACUGACCUCAGACCAAAAUCAGAAACAUGGAUCCAGGACAAAAUCCCAUACACCAUAAACUGUACUUAUAUACCCUCAGUGGCCAAUUUAAUAGAUGCCUCUGCUCAUUAAGGAAAAUUAUAAAUUGUGGCAGCAAUUCAAUUCGUAAAAAUGUGCAGAGUUUCAGUUGUUGUUCAGAUCUACCAUCAGAAUAGGGAAGGAAUGGGAUCUAAAUGACUUUGACUGAGGAAUGAUUGUUGGUGCCGGAUGGGGUGGUUUGAAUAUCUCAGAAACUACUGAUCACCUGGGAUUUUCAUGCAUAACAGUCUCUGGAGUUCACAGAAAAUGUUGCAAAAGACAAAUCAAAACAAAAAUAAAUAAAGCAGUUUUGUGGGCAAAAACACUUUGUUAAUAAGAGAGGUUAGGGGAGAAUGACCAGAUUGGUUCAAGCUGACAGGAAGGCGACAAUAUCACAAACAACCACGUGUUGCAACACUGGUAUGCAGAAGAGUAUUUCUGAAUGCACAACACGUCAGAACUUGAAGUGGAUGGGCUACAGCAGCAGAAGACAACGGGCAUAUAUUCAGUGGCCACAGGGUGUAGGUUCAAAGAGUUUGGAACAUAUGAAGCAUAGAUGAGCUUUAGAACACAUUUGCUAUCUGUAUUUGGAAAGCAGGUUAUGUUGUGAGGGCAUUACAAUGAUCAAUGUCAAGGAAACUAGCAUGCUGACUAAGCUGUGAGAACACUGACUGUCAGUAUAACAUUUUGAGAGCUGGUAUCCAUUUCAGCACUGCUAUUUACCUUCACCUCAUAUACAAAAUGCUUAGGUUUCAGUUUUCACCUGAAGGUGAAUCCCAGAACGUGAGUGUACUAGAAUUACAUGUAAUAAGAUAGAUAACUUCUUCAAUAAUCUAUAUCAUUAUUCAGAAACAAAUAUUGGGAAUUGUUUUGAAUUAUUGCUUAUUGUUUGAGCUGUCAGUUUUCAGAGUUGGGGGGAUCAUAUCAACUUUUGUUAGUUUACUUGCUUGUUGUACAAAUACCUGACUGGAUAAUCGUUGUAAAGCAUCUCCAGAAAUGUUAACCACGCAAAAGCAUAUUAUUGCUUUCAAAUACAGUUUAAGCUGACACCAGAGACAGCAGAUGAUGGAAUCUGGAGAUAAAUUCAAGCUUCAGGAGGAACUCAUUGGGUCAGACAGCAUGUGUGGAAGGAAAUAGACAGUCCACUUAUCUCUACGUAUGCUGCUUGACCUUCAGUUUAAAAAAAAAUUAUUCUAUUGAGAUACAGUUAUUGAGAUAAAGGCCCUUCCAGGCCUUUAAGUCGCACCACCAAGCAACCUUAGCCCAAUCACGGGACAAUUUACAAUGACCAAUUAACCUACUAACCGGUACAUCUUUGGCCUGUGGGAGGAAACUGGAGCACCCAGAGGAAACCCGUGCGGUCACAGGGAGAGAACUGCUUGUAGACAGUGGUGGGAAAUGAUCCCAGGUUGCUGGCAUUGUGAACAGUUUUGCUAACCACUACGCUACCAUGCUGCCUCCGGCUUUUCAUACUGGGAAAAAUGGUUUAACUACAUAAUGCCUGAUAGGCCUGAUUUUAUUCUCACAAAUCAAUGAAUCUGUUGUAAAAAAAAAAUCACUCCCUACUUGUACAUAGUUCUUUCCUUUUGCUUGUUUUUUUCUUUCCACUCUUUUCUAUAAGUGUAUACCCCAGAUAAAUACUUUGUGGAGAUUUUGUGAUAUAUAUGAUUAUGUGAUGUAUAUGUACAAUGUCUGAAAUACAUCUUAUAGAAAUGUUUGUUUGAUGAACUUCAAUAAAAAAAUAAAU
Hypanus sabinus (Atlantic stingray) is the source of this 6259-nucleotide long non-coding RNA. RefSeq lists it as uncharacterized. The record is from RefSeq and is a predicted model, not a curated record. The transcript is spliced from 3 exons. Lineage: Eukaryota; Metazoa; Chordata; Chondrichthyes; Myliobatiformes; Dasyatidae.